AGCGAACGCUGGCGGCAGGCUUAACACAUGCAAGUCGAGCGGGCAUCCUUGUGGUGUCAGCGGCAGACGGGUGAGUAACGCGUGGGAACGUGCCCUUCGGUUCGGAAUAACUCAGGGAAACUUGAGCUAAUACCGGAUACGUGCGAGAGCAGAAAGGUUUAUCUGCCGAAGGAUCGGCCCGCGUCUGAUUAGCUAGUUGGUGAGGUUAUGGCUCACCAAGACGACGAUCAGUAGCUGGUCUGAGAGGAUGAUCAGCCACACUGGGACUGAGACACGGCCCAGACUCCUACGGGAGGCAGCAGUGGGGAAUAUUGGACAAUGGGGGCAACCCUGAUCCAGCCAUGCCGCGUGAGUGAUGACGGCCUUAGGGUUGUAAAGCUCUUUUCUUCGGGACGAUAAUGACGGUACCGGAGGAAUAAGCCCCGGCUAACUUCGUG
Molecule: ribosomal RNA, 437 nt
Filed under: uncultured bacterium
Lineage: Bacteria
Description: partial 16S ribosomal RNA
Rfam family: Bacterial small subunit ribosomal RNA
Source: RNAcentral